This 468-nucleotide ribosomal RNA is filed under the name uncultured bacterium. Its description in RNAcentral is "partial 16S ribosomal RNA". It matches the Rfam family "Bacterial small subunit ribosomal RNA", at positions 28 to 507 of the family's 1533-position model. The record is from RNAcentral.
GACGAACGCUGGCGGCGUGCUUAACACAUGCAAGUCGAACGGAAAGGCCCUGCUUUUGUGUGUUGCUCGAGUGGCGAACGGGUGUGUAACACGUGAGUAACCUGCCCUUGUCUUUGGGAUAACUUCAGGAAACUGGGGCUAAUACCGGAUAGGAGCUCCUGCUGCAUGGUGGGGGUUGGAAAGUUUCGGCGGUUGGGGAUGGUCUCGCGGCUUAUCCGCUUGUUGGUGAGGUAGUUGCUUACCAAGGUUUUGACGGGUAGCCGGCCUGGGAGGGUGACCGGGGACAUGAGGACUAAGGGACGGCGCAGAAGCGAAAGGGACGCAAGAGUGGGGAAUAGUGCAGAAUGGGCGGAAGCCAGAGGCAGAAACGCAGCGAGCGGGAUGACGGCCUACGAGUUGUAAACAGAUUUGGACUGAGACGAAGCGAGAGUGACGGUAAUGGGUAAAGAAGCACCGGCUAACUACGUG